AUUGAACGCUGGCGGCAGGCCUAACACAUGCAAGUCGAGCGGAUGAAGGGAGCUUGCUCCUGGAUUCAGCGGCGGACGGGUGAGUAAUGCCUAGGAAUCUGCCUGGUAGUGGGGGAUAACGUCCGGAAACGGGCGCUAAUACCGCAUACGUCCUGAGGGAGAAAGUGGGGGAUCUUCGGACCUCACGCUAUCAGAUGAGCCUAGGUCGGAUUAGCUAGUUGGUGGGGUAAAGGCCUACCAAGGCGACGAUCCGUAACUGGUCUGAGAGGAUGAUCAGUCACCCUGGAACUGGGACACGGUCCAGACUCCUACGGGAGGCAGCAGUGGGGAAUAUUGGACAAUGGGCGAAAGCCUGAUCCAGCCAUGCCGCGUGUGUGAAGAAGGUCUUCGGAUUGUAAAGCACUUUAAGUUGGGAGGAAGGGCAGUAAGUUAAUACCCUGCUGUUUUGACGUUACCAACAGAAUAAGCACCGGCUAACUUCGUG
This 484-nucleotide ribosomal RNA is filed under the name uncultured bacterium. RNAcentral's name for it is "partial 16S ribosomal RNA". It matches the Rfam family "Bacterial small subunit ribosomal RNA", at positions 30 to 507 of the family's 1533-position model. The record is from RNAcentral.